This 403-nucleotide ribosomal RNA is filed under the name bacterium. RNAcentral describes it as "partial 16S ribosomal RNA". It matches the Rfam family "Bacterial small subunit ribosomal RNA", at positions 355 to 776 of the family's 1533-position model. RNAcentral also lists the same sequence under 1 other name. The record is from RNAcentral.
UGAGGAAUAUUGCACAAUGGAGGGAACUCUGAUGCAGCGACGCCGCGUGAACGAAGAAGGCUUUCGAGUCGUAAAGUUCUUUUAUAUGGGAAGAUAAUGACGGUACCAUAAGAAAAAGCCCCGGCUAACUACGUGCCAGCAGCCGCGGUAAUACGUAGGGGGCUAGCGUUGUCCGGAAUCACUGGGCGUAAAGGGUUCGCAGGCGGAAAUGCAAGUCAGGUGUAAAAGGCAGUAGCUUAACUACUGUAAGCAUUUGAAACUGCAUAUCUUGAGAAGAGUAGAGGUAAGUGGAAUUUUUAGUGUAGCGGUGAAAUGCGUAGAUAUUAAAAAGAAUACCGGUGGCGAAGGCGACUUACUGGGCUCAUUCUGACGCUGAGGAACGAAAGCGUGGGUAGCAAACAGG